GGGGGUGUAGCUCAGUGGUAGAGUACUUGUCUAGCAUGUAUGAGGCCCUGGGUUCAAUCCCCAGCACCACAU
Molecule: transfer RNA, 72 nt
Filed under: Marmota marmota marmota (Alpine marmot)
Lineage: Eukaryota; Metazoa; Chordata; Mammalia; Rodentia; Sciuridae
Also listed under: 1 other name
Rfam family: tRNA
About the family: Transfer RNA (tRNA) molecules are approximately 80 nucleotides in length. Their secondary structure includes four short double-helical elements and three loops (D, anti-codon, and T loops).
Source: Rfam by way of RNAcentral